AAAUGUGAGGGCUUAAUUGUAAAGAAAAUUUGAGAUGAAGUUUAUAAUGAAUGGCUGUAAUACAAUAUACUGUAUGUACUGAAAUGUUGUGGCAACAAUUUAAAUAGAAAUAGGAUGUUAAAAUAUAUACAUGUGCAUAUAUAGCUCUUUUAUUAUGACCUGUGUGUUUUCACCUGUCUUGGAUUACACAAAUUUGCCAUUGUGUUGUGGGGAAUAUAAUUGGUGACUGAAAAACUUGUGUAUAUGAAAAUCAGUUGGUUUAUGAACACUCGUGACUGAUGAUCAAACCUUUGUUAUAAGGAAUUACCUUUACCAGAAAAUUUCAUAAAAUGUUGGAUGUUCAUAUAUAAAAAGAAACUGACACUGCAAAAUGUAAUAAUAAGAAAUAUAGAAAGACAAAUGACAUUUUAUACACAGAAAUUGCAGCAGACGUAAAUUUAGAUAUAUCUCACGGAAAGAAGUACUUUGCCCGUUGCUGUUACAGUAAUGUGAGAUAAGUCAACAAAAUGUGAUAUUCAGAAAUUAUUGAAUAUGGAAAUUUGACUGGUUUCCCGAGGAAUUAAUGUCGCAACUAUAUUGUUUAGCUUGCUAUAAUGGUGUUUCAUAAAGUUUUUGUAUCAGUACCAUCAGAAGCAGUUGCAUUUCUAGGUGCUGUAGGAGCCUUCCUCCUAAUUCUGAUUAUCUUCUUCCUGUACCUAAACAAGGCCCUCUGUUUCUCCUCCUGUGGUGGCUUCCCUUGUCUUGAUAAUAAACCAAAGAAAAAAGAAUCCAGGGCCAGAGGGUUAGGUAAGUAAAAUCUUAUUGAA
Molecule: long non-coding RNA, 806 nt
Organism: Ruditapes philippinarum (Manila clam)
Lineage: Eukaryota; Metazoa; Mollusca; Bivalvia; Venerida; Veneridae
Exons: 3
Source: RefSeq, a predicted model, not a curated record